AUUAUUUUGAGUAUACCUACUAUAUCAAGAUCAAUUGUAAAUAUUGCUGGGCUACAAAUUUUGCAAAUGGAGACGGAUCCGAUUUUUACAUCCGUUCCGUCAAAAGUCAAUCUCAUUAAAAAUGAUAUAUACGUUCAUAGUGCGUCCGUUCCGAUACCUUCCGUCUUGAAAACGGAUCCGGCAAAUUUUGAAGUCAAAACAUUUUGACUUUUUGAUCCGGCAAAUUUUAUAAAGCGUUAUAACGUUACUUAUAAUUUUUUUAUAGUUAUAAAUUAUGGAUAAAUCUAGGUUUACAAUUUGGUGAAUCAGCUUGUUCAUGUUAAAAAUGAAAAUUAAUGUGUUAGAUUUAAUUGAAGCUGUAAGAGGAUCUAAAUUUAUAUAUGAUAAAUUUGAUGAAAGUUACAAGGAUUCACGCAAAAAAUCAGAAUUUUGGAUAAAUUUAGACCUACAAUUUGGUGAAUCAGGUGAUUUUGCUAAAUUUAUAGAUGAAGAAUUGUCAUCUUUACCACAGGAUCACAAAGAUAAAGUGAAAAUGAACAUUAUGCAAAUGAUUUUUUUAUAUAAAAG
Molecule: long non-coding RNA, 567 nt
Organism: Gordionus sp. m RMFG-2023
Lineage: Eukaryota; Metazoa; Nematomorpha; Gordioida; Chordodea; Parachordodidae
Exons: 4
Source: RefSeq, a predicted model, not a curated record